This 43-nucleotide ribosomal RNA is filed under the name Uromyces sp. TSH-R16265. RNAcentral describes it as "partial 28S rRNA". The record is from RNAcentral. Lineage: Eukaryota; Fungi; Basidiomycota; Pucciniomycetes; Pucciniales; Pucciniaceae.
GGACUACCUGGUGAACUUAAGCCUAUCAAUAAGCCGAGGGAAA